GGAGAGGUGGCCGAGUGGCUGAAGGCAACCGCCUGCUAAGCGGUUGUAGGGAAUAACCCCCUACCGAGGGUUCGAAUCCCUCCCUCUCCGCCA
This 93-nucleotide transfer RNA is filed under the name bacterium. RNAcentral's name for it is "tRNA-Ser". It matches the Rfam family "tRNA". From Rfam's summary of the family: Transfer RNA (tRNA) molecules are approximately 80 nucleotides in length. The record is from RNAcentral. RNAcentral also lists the same sequence under 3 other names.